UACGAAGGGGGCUAGCGUCGCUCGGAAUUACUGGGCGUAAAGCGCACGUAGGCGGAUUCUUAAGUCAGGGGUGAAAUCCCGGAGCUCAACUCCGGAACUGCCUUUGAUACUGAGAAUCUCGAGUCCGGGAGAGGUGAGUGGAACUCCGAGUGUAGAGGUGAAAUUCGUAGAUAUUCGGAAGAACACCAGUGGCGAAGGCGGCUCACUGGCCCGGUACUGACGCUGAGGUGCGAAAGCGUGGGGAGCAAACAGG
This 253-nucleotide ribosomal RNA is filed under the name uncultured bacterium. Its description in RNAcentral is "partial 16S ribosomal RNA". It matches the Rfam family "Bacterial small subunit ribosomal RNA", at positions 524 to 776 of the family's 1533-position model. The record is from RNAcentral.